Long non-coding RNA from Capsicum annuum, 3818 nucleotides. RefSeq lists it as uncharacterized. NCBI's taxonomy places the organism in Eukaryota, Viridiplantae, Streptophyta, Magnoliopsida, Solanales, Solanaceae. The record is from RefSeq and is a predicted model, not a curated record. The transcript has 3 exons.
CCCAGUACCAUUAUUUCUCAUCUCCCUCAAACCACAGCAACAUUACAAAGCUGCGUACAAAUCAACCUUCAACAUCAACGACAAAAUCAACCCAAAUCAUGACUAAUCAACCAAAACAAAACCCGUCUUCAACCCGCGUCCAACAGCAAAACCCGACCCCAACCCGUUUCUCUUUCAUUGUCGUCACGCGUUCCACGCAGCUUCGUAUGAGCAAAGGCCUAGAAUCUUCCAGAAUAAGUCUAGGUGUUCUCUCAAUGUCUCAAUUCCGCAAAUCUCGGGAUGACCGGUAUGUAUUUGUACGUUUUUGGCAAAUUUUCAUUGGUUGAGAUGAAAUUUCUUCACUAUUGGUUGCCUAUUCCAGAUUUGGGGAAGAAAAAUCCAAAAAAAUUGGUACAUGAUUGAGGGGGUGAAAUCGAAUUGGGAGGGGAUGGAAAUUUCGAAUUUCAAAAUCUCCAUCGAAAAUCCCUAAUUUACCCCAAAAGGGAAACCCUAGCCGAUUAUCUAUAUAAAGGCUAUUUUAGGAGAGAAAAGAAUUUUUUUUUUGGGGUUUGAAAGAUUCGAGGUGGAGGAAAAUCUGGGGGCUCGAAAUUUUUGGGAGAGGAAAAAUGUCUCAAAAGGGAAGGAAAAGCUUCAAGCAGUAGAUCUUUUUCUAGUUAGAUUUCUUAAAAAGAUAGAAAAUCUUCGAAAAAAAGUAGAAGUUCUGGUGGUUGAUAUUCUGCCAACAGCUCGUAGUCCUGUUUGCUGCCCCAAAAGAGGUAAUAUCUCAUCUGAUGUAGUACGGAUCCUAAAUAAAAGAUGGAGAUAACUGGUGGUCAAAAUAUUGAUAUUGUUCAGAAUUGCCAUUACAGGAUUUCCAGAUGGAGUUUUCAAUUACUUAGGUGAAUUUCGUAACUAAGUACAUAGAAGAUUCAAAUGCAGUAAUACUAUUGGAGAUGGCAUCAUCUCCAUCUAUAUUUUAUAGAACUUCAAAUGAUGAUAUAGUAGAUGUGGAUCAGUGUGAUGCUAUGAUAGAUGACGAUGACCCAUGGAUUAGAACGACGGACUGUACCUGUUUGGGUCGUUUGGUAAGUAUAAGUCUAUUGUAUCAAGAUUGGAUUAUCAGAUUUGGAAAAGAUGAUGAAAUAUUUCAGUGGAAUUAAGAUGAUUUGUGGAGGAGAGAAGAAGUGCAUAAAUGUUGAGGGUACUAACGAUGAUGUGAAGUACCCUUUUUAGUAUAUGGAGGUCGAUAGACUCAGAAUGAAUAACCUCUUUUGGCUGAAUGCAUUCUUGCACAAAGCAAACAUUUAUCGGCCUCUACCUGAGGUAUUCCUUUAUAGUCUUUACACAAUUAAAAGGAAGGAUAUUAUUUCUUCACUGUGAAGCCUGUAUUUCAAUUGUCAGAUUAGUGAUGCUCGUUCGCAAAUUCACCUUACUAUUGCACAAAAGAUUGAUGAAGCACACCAGUUAAACAAGAAAAGGUUUGAUGAUUGUGUAGAAAUAAAGAAGUUGGCUAUUACACCAGCUAGAGGCUAUUAUAUGCCUUCUGGGUUAGAGUUGUCGAAUAGAAUUUUAAGGGAGUUUGGUGCAGAUUCGUUUAUCAGAGUUUCCUUCACAGAUGAAGGAACGACCAUACUCAAUAGAAGGAUGCUGAACUUCUACACUGCUCCGAAGAGGAUGAAAGCACAACUCCAACGCACCUCAAUAUAUCGAAGGAUUGAGAAUAUUCUGAAUAAUGGUUUUACUCUCGGAACCGAGCAUUUUGUUUUUCUGGCAUUCUCAAAUUCUUAAUUAAAGGACCACUCAGCAUGGUUUACAUUCAAAACCUUACUGUCAGAAAUCAGAAACUGGAUGGGGGAUAGCCAAAUGCUUAGCUAGGAUGGGCCUUUGUUUUUCGUCCACUUAUGAAACGAUUAAAGUUCCUUCAUCUCAGGUUUCAAAUCUUCCUGAGAUCAUAAGGAAUAACUACGUAUUUUCUGAUGGAAUUGGGAAAAUUUCCGCCUCUUUAGCUGCAAAGGUUGCGAAGAAGCUGCAACUAAGUGUUCAUAACGCGCCAUGUUCUUAUCAAAUUCGAUUUGGUGGUUAUAAGGGGGUUGUAACAUGCUGGCCAGAAGAUAGAGAUGAUGGGUUUCAUCUUUUUUUAAGGAAGAGUAUGCUGAAAUUUAAGUCUGAACAUAGUAUUCUGGAAAUUUGCUCUUGGAGUAAAUACCUACCGUGUUUCUUGAAUAGAUAGAUAAUAAUUCUUGUCUUCAUUGGAUAUAAAGGAUGAUGUUUUUAUGAACUUACAGGAAGCUAUGUUAGCAGCUUUUGAUGCAAAACUUGCAAUUGACAUAAGAAGAUCGUCUGCCGAAACAAUAAAUGCAAUUGCGACAAUGGUAGCUGCAGGUUUUAAACUAGAAAGUGAACCAUUUUUGGAAAGAAUGAUAUAUUGUAGUAAGUUCUUUGGCCUUUAAGGCCUCAAGAACAAAGCACGCAUCUAUGUUCCAGAUGGGCGCUUAUUAAUGGGAUGCUUGGAUGAAUUAGGCAUACUGGAAGAUGGGCAAUGCUGUAUUAGAGUAUCAUCUUCUGCUUCAUAUCCUGAGAUACAUGACAUAAACUUUGAAAUAAUACAAGGAAAGGUAGUAAUUGCAAAAACCUCUUUCAUCAUCCAGGGGAUAUUCGUAUUCUUACUGCUGUACAUGUUGAAAGGUUAUCCCAUAGGAAGGACUGUUUGGUCUUUCCACAGAAGGGGAACAGACCCCAUGCAGAUGAGACAUCUGGUAGUGAUCUAGAUGGCGAUCUAUAUUUUGUUACUUGGAAUGAAAAUCUCAUUCCUGUAGAAGCUGUUGAGCCGAUGAUUUAUGAUUCAACGAAAAUUGAUGAGUUUCAUGGAAAAGUCGAAGACAAGGACUUAAUUGAUUUCUUUUUGAGAUACAUCAUCGAAGAUAACUUGGGAUCAAUGAGCAAUGCUCAUCUUAUGCAGGCACACCAGUAUGGUGCUAAAAAUUCCACAUCUAUAAAGUUAACAGAUUCCAUUUCUAAGGCACUGGAUUGCAGCAAGACAGAAGAUUAUGCAGCCUUUCCAAAAAUUCUGAAACCAAAGAGCUAUCCCCAUUAUAUGGAGAAAAAGGGGGUCAAAACCUAUCUUUCAACAAACAUUUUGGGAAAGUUAUAUGAUCAGAUUAAGGACGUGAUUACAGCUGAGUUACCAUCUAGAGUAAUACAAUGAGAUACAGACCUAUUUAUAUUAGGAGCAGAAUCUUUCAGGGAGGCCCUGAGGUAUAAAAAAAGAUACGAUUUGAUGAUGAGGGAAAUUCAGCACUUACAUUCAGUGGCAGAGGUAGAGAUUGUAACAGGGAACUUUUGGUCAUUGCCCAAGGGCAAUAAAUAGAACAAGUUGAAGCAGAAAAUACUGCUUGCUUAUGAGAAUAUUUGGAGAGAAUUCAGGUCUUACUUUGAGAAUUUAGGACCUAAAAUUGCUGAUCUUUCUGACCAUGAUAAGCAAACCCUAUAUGAGGCAAAAACAUCAUGUUGGUACCGGAUUACGUAUAGUGCAGAAUCAAAAUGUGAGCUGCUAGAGGAAGAUACACGAGAAAAUGCUGAGUUUUCCCUGGAUCGCCGUUGAUCAUCUCUCUCGCAUUAAAAAACAGAAAUCAUUUCAGUCGUGACAGUGAUUUUUCUAGUAUCCAAUACUAACUGAUUUUCACACUUUCUACGUGUAUAUAACAUUAGCUUAUAGUGUAAUACAUUUUUGGAUGGAACCACGUGUGGAUGCUUGAACCACCUGAUCUCUAACUGGUCUUUUCUUUGCUUCUACUUAUAACAUAAUGUUGGAAUGAAUCAAACAUUUAGUUGUAUUUGCA